RNAcentral lists this ribosomal RNA (253 nucleotides) under uncultured bacterium. RNAcentral's name for it is "partial 16S ribosomal RNA". It matches the Rfam family "Bacterial small subunit ribosomal RNA", at positions 524 to 776 of the family's 1533-position model. The record is from RNAcentral.
UACGUAGGCAGCAAGCGUUGUUCGGAGUUACUGGGCGUAAAGGGCGCGUAGGCGGCGCGGUAAGUCACUUGUGAAAUCUCUGAGCUUAACUCAGAACGGCCAAGUGAUACUGCAGUGCUAGAGUGUGGAAGGGGCAAUCGGAAUUCUUGGUGUAGCGGUGAAAUGCGUAGAUAUCAAGAGGAACACCUGAGGUGAAGACGGGUUGCUGGGCCAACACUGACGCUGAGGCGCGAAAGCCAGGGGAGCAAACGGG